CAGAAACGUAAGAGCGGCCGAAGCAAGAGCCAGGUCCCGGGGGGAAGGGCGCCCGUCGGUUCAGAGAGGAGCCCGGGCAGGCUGGAGCCACGCGACCGAGGGGGCGCAGGGGAGGGACCUACGGACUCAGCCCCCGCCCGUCCGUGCGGAGGGAGGGCCGGAGGCAGACGGGGCGGUCCUGCUCCCCCGACGGACGGCGCGGGGGCGGGGAGAUCAGUCACCGGGACGUGCUCCGGGACUGGAGGGAGGGACGAGCGCGGGAGGGGAAGGAAGUGUGCAGGAGGCUCUCCCGGCUGCCAGAGCUCUCCCAGGCGUGCGGGGGGCGUCAGGCCCAGGCUCUGAGACCCCCCGGGAUUCAGCCCCAGGGCGAGGGAUCAGGAGGGCAGAGGGACUCGGAGACACAGCAUGACCCCAGCUCCCGCCAGAUGCAAAGCCUUUCCUGGGUGCUCAGCAUGGCUCCGUCCGACGGUGAGUCCACCCUCCUCCGCUGGCCAUUGUCCCUGAAGCCAUGGGAUCCGAACCCCGCGCUCAUGGGGCCCGGAGGCAAUUUCCGGGCAGUAACCCAGGGAGGCUCCGAAGGAAACCGUGGGCGCGUCCAGGAGGACUCACCCGGCGGAAGUCCUGAUGCGGGACGCCCAGGCCGCGAUCCAGGCGGAGAGACCACAAUCGUUCACCUGAAGCAAAUAUAAGAAAUCUGAGGCCACACAGCACUACUGCCUGGUGAGAAAUGCGGGGAUUACGUUCUCAGGGGAAAAGCCAGAUGUUGCUGCACCGACCUCUGCCCGUGCCAUGGCACCGGGCACCCGGCUGUGGGUGGCGACGGCAGCCGGACCCCUGACCCUGCCCACAGGACCAUGUUGCUGAAGGGCCUGGUUCCCUUCUGGUUUAACUUUUAAGAAAGCACUGGAA
This 909-nucleotide long non-coding RNA is filed under the name Suricata suricatta (meerkat). RNAcentral describes it as "lncRNA (ENSSSUG00005000007.1)". The record is from RNAcentral. Lineage: Eukaryota; Metazoa; Chordata; Mammalia; Carnivora; Herpestidae.